CAAAGAAAGAAACACCGAGUAGUAGACGAGCGAUGUAACAAAACACAAACCCAGAAAUGUCUCUGAAGAAGACAUCACAGAGAGACAGAGAGAGAAAGGAAAAGAGAUGGGGAUCUCGUGAUAUAAAAGGAGGAAGCAAAGAAUGAAUGCGAGUGUUGAGGGAGGGAAAGAAGGAAGGAAGGGAAAUGAAAGGAAAGGAGAGGGGGUUUAGCUUACAGACUAGAGAGAGGAUAAGAAGAGAAAGGAAAAGAGUUUUAAUUUUUUUUUCUCUUAUCGUUUUAUCUUUGCCCUCACCUGCUGCUUCACGAGACAAGUUUCACUUCUCUCUCUAUCUGUCAAGUGCCACUUCUCU
RNAcentral lists this unclassified non-coding RNA (352 nucleotides) under Hevea brasiliensis (rubber tree). The record is from RNAcentral. Lineage: Eukaryota; Viridiplantae; Streptophyta; Magnoliopsida; Malpighiales; Euphorbiaceae.